Podarcis lilfordi (Lilford's wall lizard) is the source of this 70-nucleotide non-coding RNA. The record is from the annotation of a GenBank genome assembly. NCBI's taxonomy places the organism in Eukaryota, Metazoa, Chordata, Lepidosauria, Squamata, Lacertidae.
CUCCCAUUCAGCUGGUUAGAGAAUGGGGCUGAUAACGCCAAGGUUGCAGGUUCGAUCCCUGUAUGGGACA